Long non-coding RNA from Alexandromys fortis (reed vole), 4572 nucleotides. RefSeq lists it as uncharacterized. The transcript has 3 exons. The record is from RefSeq and is a predicted model, not a curated record. Lineage: Eukaryota; Metazoa; Chordata; Mammalia; Rodentia; Cricetidae.
UGCUGGUGACCCCAACUAUAGAAUUACUUUCGUUGCUACUUCAUAACUGUAAUUUUGCUACCGUUAUGAAUGAUGAUGUCAGUGUCUGGUAUGCAGGCUAUCUGAUAUGUGGCCCCAGUUUGAAAACUGCUGGUGUAUAUGAAGGAGCUCAGCCAAGAACACAGCAAUUAUUUUAAAACUACAGGUCAGGCCAGAUUCAGUGGCCCAAACCUGUAAGGAGGCUGAGGUAGGAGGAUUGCUGCAAGUUCAAGGCCAGCCUGCGAUUCAGAGGGAGUCCCUGACUCAAAAAACAAACAAACAAAAAUAGAUAAGUUAAUUAAUAAAUAACCCAAGACAGGAACCCAGACAGACCGUCCUGGAUGUGGAACAGACAAACUGGGCCGGGCGUAGCCAGAAAGCUGCAUUAUUUACUGCCUUGGCUAUAAAAUAUUUACAUGGCUUCCUGAUGGUGUUUGCUUUCCAGGUAAACUGUGAGCCCUGCAGCUCACCCAUGGGAGGAGACUCAGGGCACUGAGACGGAGAUGGCUCUUAACUCUAUGUUCUUCUAGAAGGCCUGAGGUUCCCACCCAAUGAACUCUGGGGGAAACUGUGACUCUAGAGGACAAGGGGAAGCCCAGACAAAGGUCAGGCUAUAGGGAGGGACCUGUUUUAGAGCAAGAUAGAAUGGUGCCCCAGUACCCCGGGAAUGUGGCCCUAGACAGCUGAACUCCUCUUGUCCUGGUUUUGUUAUGGUAGAAUGGGACUAACAAUAGCAUGGUAGUUUCUUUGUUUUGUUGUCUGAGUAUGUGUGUGUGUGUGUGUGUGUGUGUGUGUAAGAGACAGAGACAGACAGAGGGGAGAGGGAGAGAGAGGUCAGAGGUCAAUGCUGAAUGUCUUCCUCAGUUGCUCUCCACUCUAGUUUUUGAGACAGGAUACCUCACUGAAUCUGAAGCUCACCUCUUGGCUCUGCUGACUGGCCGAUGAGCUCCCAGGACCCACCAAACUCUCCUGUUCUCCAACAUUGGCACUCCAAUUGCACCCAGCUUUCCUAAGGAUGCUGUGAAUUCAAACUCGAGUUCUUAGCUCAUACAGCGAGCACUUUACCAACUGAGCAUCGCUCCCCAGCCCCACAAUCCGUUUCUUGAGACAAGGUCACACUAAGUUGCCUGGCUUAUCGUUGAACUCAUUCUAUAGGCCAGGGAGGCCUUCGACUUGCAAUCCACUCGUGAGAGGGAGAUUGGGUAGUGUUCAAGAAGGCCAGCAGGCCAGGCCCUCAGACAGCCCCAAGCUCUUGUAAUAUACCUGUAGCCUUCACCCAAGGGACUCUGGGGAAAGCCAGGAAUCUAAGGGUACAAGGGGAAGCACGGGCUAGGAGAUGCCUCUUAGCUCUCUGAGAGGAGAGAGAUUCUCAAUCAAGGCAAGAGUCCUGCACAGCUGAAAUUGAUGGCUCCAGAAAGUGGGGUCUUAUGGAGAUGGGGCGGGGAGUGAACCCAAGACUUGCGGGUUCCAGCAUGGGUCAGCAGGAUGGAAAAGAUGUCAAGAGGGCAGGAACGAUGAGGUCUGCAGAUUCUUGAGAGUAGCUUCCCAUUUGAACGGAGACAAGCCUCAGCCCACACACCCAGGGACUUUCCCCAGGGCAUCUUGGACCGCCUCACUCCACUGAGAACACUAAGGCCAGUGACAUGAGGGAUCGAAAGGCCACACAGUAUUGGAAAUCAGAGGUGCCCAGCCUCUACACCCAGCGGCCAGCAGAGGAGAAGCCGUUCCUCGAUGAUCCAUUCUCAGAAUCAGAGUCAGAUGCAGGAAACCCGUUGUUGAAGCAGAAGAGCGAAGGAGCUCUGGGAAGCAGAAAGGAGACCAGAGAGGAAACCACCAUGCUAAAGGGAACAAAGCAGGCGGGGGCCCUGUGCACAGUUCCCCAUGAGGUCUGCGUCGGCACCUUAGGGGAUUUUCUUGCCACGCUUCUCAACAGCAUUUUUUGGGGGAACUUCCUGCAUGGAAGGCUCAACUCACUCCUUCAUCUGUAGCUUUCAGGUGCCACUGGCUGGAACCCCCUCUGCUUCUCCUGCAGGGUUGCUGGAGACACUAGGGCCUUGUGGACUGCCCCUCUGCCCUGUCAUACCCAAGGAGACAGCAGAGCCUGCUGAACCCUAGCACCAGGAACUCAAGGAUAUGACUUACGACCAUGGCCCUUUGAGCAACACCCUAGGUCUCACGGUAUAGCCCAGACUGGUCUCGCGACCUUGCCACUCUUCUGCCUCAUCCUCCCAAAUGCUGGGAGCAACAUGUCCAUUCCACUCAGUCUUGAGGCCAAUUUCCAGCCAUCCCAUCCAAAGGACGCACGGAUCUUCACUAAGAGUCUAGAGUGUGCCAGGCAUCCCAUUAUUAUCUUAGUUUUACAUAACUCCAAUUCUGUAAGGUGAAUACUAUUAUAUAUCUCCAUUUUACAGAUGUGAAAACUGAGGCCAUACAGAGUCAAGUUAGACUAAGAUGGAGCUCAACAAUUUUACAUAUCUCCUCUCUGCUCUAAGGCAUGGACAUGGAGAGCUCUUUGGUACUCACCAUGUCAACAUUUGGGAUUCAAGUGUUUGAGAAUGACCUCAAAGAUCAGGCAUUUUCUGUUUUAGCAUCAUGGCAGUAGAAUUUGAGUCCCGCCUAAGUCAAGUCUGGUGCUGGGAGAGAGUCCCACACUUCGAAGCUGGACUGAAGAGAACCAGGCUCUUGAGCAGCAGCCCAUCGGGAAGGCAUAGGGACAAUCAAGGUGUGGAGUCAGGUCACUUGACCCCUUUCUACAGUCUCGUAAACUUAAGCUAACUGCUUUCCCUCUCGAGUGGUAAGAGGAGGCACACCUGUACCUGUCAGGCCUUGCAGGACUCUGGUGAGGACUGUGCUUGGCCCGUAAAAAGUCUGGAUUCUGCUGGAGCCCAGGUACAGGAGAACAAGGACAAUGACUGGGGCCCGUAAAGAUUGACAUGUGAUUCAAAACUUCUUGGCAGGUCCUGAAGCCCAAGCUGAUGGGAGGACAAAAACGGUGAGCCCAAGGGGCUAGGGUGGCCACGAGUACCUUGUCAGGAGGACACGAAGGUCAGACCAGAGUGACCGCUGGAUGGGCUCGGGGCUCUGGCCUGAGGGGAAUGGCAGCUCUGUGUCUUCCUACGAGUGUGACCAGGCACAGAUGACUAUUUCCUAAUAAGAAUGUAAUCACCUCUCAGAGCACUGGUUGUGCACCUGACACAAGCUUACCAAAUGCCAGGGAUUAUGAUUAUUUAAUAAUUGUGGUCUCUAUGGUAUGCAUAUGGGCUGGCCCAGAGAUGGAUCCAGAACCGAGGGUGGUUCCUGGCUCCCAGCAAGCUCAUAAAGCUUAUCCCCCCAGUUUUUUUUUUUUCCUGUGGUAGAAUCCCCCUGGUACCUACAAGGAAGAGAACUCCUCCAUCACUAAAUAGAGUUGGGGUGUGGCUUGGCCCUUUGAACUGGCUUCUCUUCCUCCAUUAGGUCAACUGGGAUAUGGGUCAGGACACCAGUUGUGAGGCUUUGGCGCCUUCUACCGUGUCUCAACUCCAUUGCCAGUCUGCAGAGCUCGCUGACACCCUCAGCUGAAGCAGGCCCCAGAUCACAUCAACAGCCUUCUUGACUUUAAAGCCCUUAUCUGGACCUGUAAUUAUCUUAUUGACUUGGUGAUAAUUAUUGGUUUACCGUCUAACUUCCAGCACCUGCUUGAUUCAGGGCCCUUGCAUGUAUCUUCCCGCAGUCUGUUUGGUGCUUGGCACUUCAGGGACACUAACAAAUGCUUUUUGAAUAAACACACAGGCGAAGUUUCACAUUGAAGAGAGGUACAAGAACAGCAGAUUGGAACGCAGACAGCCUGGGUUCCAGACACGGCUCUGCCUUCAAUAGCUGUGGGACCUGUGGCCUCAAUCUCUCCAUUGAUAUCCUUAGGUCUUUCAGGUUUCAAGACCGUUUAGGUCCCAAUAGUUUGUGUCUCUAAGGGACCCCUGCCAGGCUAUAACUCUAAGAAACCUUGUUGGCCACUGUGAAGCAGGAAGUUGCCAUGACAAAUACAAGCAUAUUUAUUUUGAAAUAUUUUCUCGGAAUGUCUGUGACUAAGCCUAGAGAAUUCUCCUUUCCCUUGGGGGCAGCCUCUGAGAGCAUAUGACUUGGGAUACGCAUGCGCACACGCGCACACACAUACAGAGAGAGGGGGAGUGUACAAUAUUCAUCUUCAUACUCACAAGCUCACACACACUCGUGUAGUCCUUACACAUGGGUUUGCACAUGCCCAUAUGUGUAUACCACACAAUUCAAGUGAACACUCGCACAAAUGUACUCAUACAUUUCCCCCAUACACAGAGCUCAUUUAUACAUCCUCAUACAUGUUCACACACUCAAGAGCACAGAAAUACAAUCAUCCUCAUACAUGUUCACAUACUCAAGAGCACAGAAAUACAAUCACACAUAUUUUCACUCCUUUGUACCAUUAUGUUGGUAGCUGCCACCACCCCACAUUGUCACACCAACUCAGAAGCACACACAUAAACUCACCCUGAACUCACAUGCUAUACUGUAUGCACACACUCAUGUGUAUCCUGACACACA